Molecule: long non-coding RNA, 685 nt
Filed under: Phoenix dactylifera (date palm)
Lineage: Eukaryota; Viridiplantae; Streptophyta; Magnoliopsida; Arecales; Arecaceae
Description: long non-coding RNA (PDAC_LNC019339)
Source: RNAcentral
CAUCUCUGUUGAAAAAUUGAAUGUGAUUACAAAGAGAGGAGUUUCAUAUUGCAAUAGUAAAAUGCUGAUGCUAUUAUACCAAGAAGACUUGCUUGCCUUAUGUGUGAAGCAAAAUCUGAUAAGCUGUCUCAAAACCAGUGAGCAAUCCCCCAACAAGAAAGGGAGAAUGAUAUGAUCAGAUUGUCCUCUCAGUAUAAUCUGCUAGGGAUCCAAUAUGAGCACCUUUUGUUUGUUGCUGGAUCCAAGUGACUUUAUCCCCCAAGGACCAUUAUAAACAACAAAAGAACUUGGGCCACAGAAAGAAGGGUAAAGAGCAGCUGAGAAUGGGAAGGAGAGUGUGCCUAAUAAAGGCCUCGAGAGUUGGUCUCUUCUCUCCCUUCAAUCGCGCUCGGAUUGGGCCGGUGUGACCCCACGGGCUCUUCCUCUCCUACUUUUGCUUCCUUGCUUUCGCAGUGUCCUUUUUCAGUCCGGCUGGGUCUUACAGGAUUUUUCCAAACAUGCCUCUAGUAGAUUCAGUUUACUUCCUUAGACAGCUACCAAUCUUCUUAUUUAAUGUCUGCAGGUAUUGUAUGUUUUACUUAUCAUGUCUCCUGAUUCAAAUUUCUAUAAUAUGACCCUCAUUUUCUGAAUUUUGUAAUGUAUAAAAAGUCAUCUUUUAUUGUUGGGGGAAAAACGAGUCGCUCCG